This 494-nucleotide ribosomal RNA is filed under the name uncultured bacterium. Its description in RNAcentral is "bacterial SSU rRNA". It matches the Rfam family "Bacterial small subunit ribosomal RNA", at positions 29 to 518 of the family's 1533-position model. The record is from RNAcentral.
AUGAACGCUAGCGACAGGCCUAACACAUGCAAGUCGAGGGGCAGCACAAGGAGCAAUCUGAGGUGGCGACCGGCGCACGGGUGAGUAACACGUAUGCAACCUGCCUGUAAGCGGGGAAUAACCCGUUGAAAGACGGACUAAUACCGCAUAAUACUAAAUUACUGCAUGGUAAUUUAUUUAAACAUUUAUGGCUUACAGAUGGGCAUGCGCAUGAUUAGCUAGUUGGAGAGGUAACGGCUCCCCAAGGCAACGAUCAUUAGGGGUUCUGAGAGGAAGGUCCCCACACUGGUACUGAGACACGGACCAGACUCCUACGGGAGGCAGCAGUGAGGAAUAUUGGUCAAUGGGCGAGAGUCUGAACCAGCCAAGUCGCGUGCAGGAAGAAUGUCCUAUGGAUUGUAAACUGCUUUUGCAGGGGAAUAAAGUGCAUCACGUGUGAUGUUUUGUAUGUACUCUGCGAACAAGGAUACGGCUAACUCCGUGCCAGCAGCAGC